This 97-nucleotide signal recognition particle RNA is filed under the name Rheinheimera pacifica. RNAcentral describes it as "signal recognition particle sRNA small type". It matches the Rfam family "Bacterial small signal recognition particle RNA". From Rfam's summary of the family: The signal recognition particle (SRP) is a universally conserved ribonucleoprotein involved in the co-translational targeting of proteins to membranes. Archaeal SRP consists of a 7S RNA and homologues of the eukaryotic SRP19 and SRP54 proteins. In most bacteria, the SRP consists of a 4.5S RNA and the Ffh protein (a homologue of the eukaryotic SRP54 protein). RNAcentral also lists the same sequence under 7 other names. The record is from RNAcentral. Lineage: Bacteria; Pseudomonadati; Pseudomonadota; Gammaproteobacteria; Chromatiales; Chromatiaceae.
CAUUGGUCCUCUCGCAAUACUAGUAAGCGAACCUGGUCAGGUCCGGAAGGAAGCAGCCACAGUUUAUGACGUAUGUGCCGGGAUGUGGCUGGUGGGG